CCUAAAUCUAUAAAUGUUUACAAGACUUAUGUUUUGAUCAACAUAACGCGUUUUGAGGAGGAGUAAAUGCAUUUAUUUUUUUUUAAAUUAGCAACUUAUUUCACUUUUUAGUGACACAAGAAUACCAGUCUGGUAUUUUAUUUUGAGGCGUAGCCAAAAGCAAAUUGGACUCUCUUUUUCUGGUGAAAAUCUGAAACGAGUGUAGCAUUAAUGCAGAUGACCCCUGAAUGAAUUUGAUCUCAUUAGUGUUUGAAUCAACUCAGCUGGAAAACAAUAUAAGUAGGACCUGACUGCAAAACAGGUGCUGCAGCUCAAGUGAAAUAGUCUCAAUAAAAAAAUGAUGGCCAAAAGCUAUAGGCAAUUGUAUAACGUUACUGUAAAACAGCAGAAGGAAAAAAUGGAUUUGCUAUACUUCUUAUUGGAAAACCAAACUGAAGUUCAAGGAGGUACAUUGCUGUGGUUCCAUUACGUGUUUACAGAGAGAAGUUUGGUAAAUAUCUGCUUUAUGGAUUCUACUGAACUGUGGAAUUCAGUGCUGUUGACUGUGCCUGGAAUGCAAAGCAGAAAGUAAUGUUAAAAACUUCCCCAUAUGAAAGAGAGGAUGGAGGAACAAAAGAAUGAGAAAGACCUCUUCAAUCUUGGAGUCCAAUUCACUAAAGUCUCAGCAAAGAAAGGUUAUGUAUGUCAUGGGAAUCAGAGAAUCACAGAACCACAGGGGUUGGUAAGUACC
RNAcentral lists this long non-coding RNA (730 nucleotides) under Numida meleagris (helmeted guineafowl). RNAcentral describes it as "lncRNA (ENSNMEG00000001032.1)". The record is from RNAcentral. Lineage: Eukaryota; Metazoa; Chordata; Aves; Galliformes; Numididae.